RNAcentral lists this long non-coding RNA (1339 nucleotides) under Nicotiana benthamiana. RNAcentral describes it as "long non-coding RNA (NBEN_LNC020736)". The record is from RNAcentral. Lineage: Eukaryota; Viridiplantae; Streptophyta; Magnoliopsida; Solanales; Solanaceae.
UCUACCCAAGGGUAGGGGUAAGGUCUGCGUACACACUACCCUCCCCAGACCCCACUAAGUGGGAUUAUACUGGGUUGUUAUUGUUGUUGUUGUUAUGGUUUCCAAAAUAAAAAAUAGCUUCCAUCAUUCAGUAGUUUCCGCUUUAACCCGGUCUAGCUAGUUACUAGAUAAUCAUAUACUUUAAGCUAGCGAUAGGUAUGUACUUUCUUCUAUUGACAUAUACUUACAGUGGUGUAUACUAACAAUACAUCUUUGUAUAUGCAUGAAGGGAAAACUUGAAAAAUACUUUGGAAGAACUAUCAUCAGACAAUUUAUUAAGGAAUAGUCUUAAUACCAAUCUAGUAAUUGUAAAGCAAGGGACAACAUAUGUAUGGAAGUUGUUAAAAUAGAAGCAGACUAUGAUGGCAUAGUUUUAGAGCAUUCAUGGAGAUCCUUCAUAUCUGAUAAAAGAGAAACGGACUAUUAUUUCAUAGUCUAGUUUCUGGCUAUUCAUGGAGAAUGUUCACAUCUGACUCUCUUUUUUCUGUCAUGUUAGGGUCCUUAAACAUUAUCGCAUAUAUUUAUAUCAGCAUGACCUCUCCCUGAAAAGAUGCACUUUUUCCUUAUUGAGUAAUUUGUGUUGGUUUUCUGUGCUGAAUCACAUUCAAAGGUAUGAUGACAGUAUAAGCAUCCUUGUUUUUUUUAAUAAUAGUAGACAUGGUGUCCGGUUCAGCUUGCGUCCUCGAUUAUUUCCACAUGAUACCUGCUACCUCCCACUAGCACAUGUACCUAAAACUAUCCACCUAAGCUUGGACAUGGGAAGAAAUCCUCUAGUGGUUUUGCCUCCGCUGGAAUUUGAACCCGAGAUCUCAUGGUUUUCAACCUACUUCAUUAACCACUAGGCCACACCCUUGAGUGCCCUUCUUUGUUUCUUUUUGGGGUGGUUAUUUUCCUGGCUAUGAUAAGGAUUGCGCCAAAGAGAAUUUCUGUUAUCCUGAUUUAGUUGUGAUAUCUUGCUUUUGUUCUUUAGUAUGUGCAAGCAACUUGAUGCAAAAGGGUUGCAUCAGGAGAGCAAAGUGAUUUCCAACAUAUGGUGGAGCUCUUAAAGGCGAUUCAGAUGGUAAGCUUGCAUAUCAAUUUCCAAAGUUCUACUUUCUAACAUAAUAGAAAAUUGGGAAUUCAAGCACUACGGUGAGCUCUUAAAGGCGAUACAGAUGGUAAGCUUGCAUAUCAAUUGCCAAAGUUCUACUUUCCAACAUAAUAGAAAAUUGGGAAUUCAAGCAGUACAAUGCAAUCGUGCUACCACCUCUAUGCGUAAAAUGGGAAUGAAGAGUUAAUGAAGGUAUUUCGCUAAGACUUG